UACGUAGGGGGCAAGCGUUGUCCGGAUUUAUUGGGCGUAAAAGGCUUGUAGGUGGCCACGCCAAGUCGGAUGUGAAAUCUCCCGGCUCAACUGGGAGGGGUCAUUCGAUACUGGCGGGCUCGAGGCCGGUAGGGGGAAGUGGAAUUCCCGGUGUAGUGGUGGAAUGCGUAGAUAUCGGGAGGAACACCAGUGGCGAAGGCGGCUUCCUGGACCGGUAUUGACGCUGAGGCGCGAAAGCUAGGGGAGCAAACGGG
Molecule: ribosomal RNA, 254 nt
Filed under: uncultured bacterium
Lineage: Bacteria
Description: partial 16S ribosomal RNA
Rfam family: Bacterial small subunit ribosomal RNA
Source: RNAcentral